This is a non-coding RNA of Meleagris gallopavo (turkey), 1023 nucleotides long. The record is from RefSeq and is a predicted model, not a curated record. NCBI's taxonomy places the organism in Eukaryota, Metazoa, Chordata, Aves, Galliformes, Phasianidae.
GUGCCACAAACAUUUCCAUCAGUGGGGACUCAGUGUCGAUGGCAUCAUAUGGCACCAUCAGUGUGAGGAUGAUGCUUACCUGGGGAAGGAAUUCUCAUCAGGCAGCAAGAUCUGCUAGCAGAGGAAGCAGAACAGAGCAUGGACAGUCAGACAUGCACCACUCUCCAAACAACCUUUGCUUUGCUUGGAAGCUGCAGCAGAAAAAGACAGGUAUCAUCCAAAAGUAAAUCUGACGUCUGUUCUUAACUGGGCCUGAGCACUGCUCCUCGCUGCCAUGCUCCAGAAGAGAAAUGCUGAUUUACAGAGGUGAAGGGACGACAUGUCAGCUUGGGAUCCUUUCAGCAAUCAAGAUUUUUGGUUUACUUUACUUUCUUGCUUAUUUUUCCGCACAAAAUCCCUAUGGAGUCGAGCAGUGUAAAUCUGAGAAGUUAUCUUGGGCUUAGGCCAGCUGAGAUAUUUUCAGUCUCUGUUCAUCUUUGGAUAAAAACCAGUGCAAGCAAGCUAAAAAAGCCAAAUAUGUCCAAAUUCUCAGUAAGCUUUGAGGGAGCAUCCAUAAAAUAAGCACUGGCAGGUGGCAUUAUGAAGUGCUCAAAACAAAUGCUCGAGAACAUUGUUAUUGAAAAGCAGCCAACAUAAGUAUCUCCCCCUCUGCAGGGGACGGGCUGGAUCCUCCCGAGCCCUUCUUUGGACAGCCACUGCGUUUUGCUGCUGUGAGCCUGAUAACGAAAGACAUUUCCUGGUGUAUGCUUUCACGUGCUAUUUGGCUCUCCAACAGGGCAUCUAGGAAUAGGACUGAGUUUAUUCUAAGAGUGGCAGGAGAUACAGCCAAAGCAUCACCAUGUCCCUCAGGUUCGGAAGAGUGAGGAGGGAUGGGCCCAAGCUGGGAGCUAGAGGCCUCUGGCCGAAGCUGGGUGGGCUGAGCAGGGUUAGGACCUGAGGAGCGAAGUGGAAGCAGGGGCUGCACACCACAAGCAAAGCUGAGCACGUGGUGGGGGUGGCACCGCAUGACCCACUGCACACAGG